This is a long non-coding RNA of Episyrphus balteatus (marmalade hoverfly), 993 nucleotides long. RefSeq lists it as uncharacterized. The transcript is spliced from 3 exons. Lineage: Eukaryota; Metazoa; Arthropoda; Insecta; Diptera; Syrphidae. The record is from RefSeq and is a predicted model, not a curated record.
UAGAUAAAUAGAACAAUUUAACUUAAAAAAAUAAAUAAUCUUCUCGAUCUUAUUUGUGAAAACUAUUUAAAAAAAAACAAUCUACCGCACAAAUUCUUCGGCACGCCACAUAAAUUCCACCACCAUUUUCACCAUCAAAAUGCACAGCCUCAGACUUGUGCAUUUAGAAAAAAAAAAAUCAUAAAAAAAUGACACAAAAACCACCACCAAUUGAUUUGGAAAAUAAAGUGGAGAUCAAUUCCAGACAUCAAUGACUGAGUUUACAGUUCAAAAGGUUCCUCCACGCCAUCCAGAACGAGUGAAAUGAAUCUCAUGUUUAAUAGAGACUUCAAUACAUGAGUGUGAUCCACAUUCCACAGACUUUGUAGUGUCUGCAAUCUCCGACCACUUGUUGAUGUGUUCGCUCUAAUCCAAAAAAAAACAACAUUCAACAAUUCUAUAUCGAGUAUAAAAAUGAUGCAGAGACUCCUUGCUCGCCACAGUAUUGGAUGCAGUCCGUUCGAGUGACAAUCAAGAUGUGCACGUUCGUAUUACAAACACAUUGCUAGGCAUGCAUUUUGUUCCCCUCAACUGUUGUGUGGAUUGAUAUGAUUUUAGAGAAAUUCAACGCCAACAUUUCUCAUAGUGGUCUUAAGUAAAGUGUCACACAAGACGUAUGUUUUGAUGUUAUAUAAUUCGACUGAAUAAAUCUAAAUCUCUAACCAAAGUUUCAACUUCAGAGUUUAUUUGUAAUUUCAUGUGUAGUUUCAAAAGGUUUAGAUUCACUAGGAACUAACUACUUCUUUUACGUACAAAUUUCACCACAUAAUUACGUACUUCCAGAUUCGAAGUUUCAGUGAUUAUUCUGUAGCUAAAAAAGUACUGGCAAAUGUACAUCAGAAGCACUUCCAGAUGUGCUUCGCUGAUGUACUUUUGAAGUACAUUUUUCUGUACUUUUAAUGGAGGGGAAAUUUAUUUCAUCUUGCAUGCGAGAAAGAGAUAGCUUCUUCACGU